RNAcentral lists this long non-coding RNA (287 nucleotides) under Setaria viridis. RNAcentral describes it as "long non-coding RNA (SVIR_LNC001429)". The record is from RNAcentral. Lineage: Eukaryota; Viridiplantae; Streptophyta; Magnoliopsida; Poales; Poaceae.
GGAGAGAAGAGGGAAAAGCGGAGAGGCUGACAUGUGGGACCAAUUUACAAGGGACUAUUCCCACCCAAUCCUACAUUUUUGAGAGCUGGAGUCAUGUCAUUAGCCAAACAGGUUGAUCAACUCCAUAUUUUUCUGAAGUUGGUUGGGUGGCGCUGCGGAAAAGUGAAGUUGGUGGAGUGAAGUUGUUUUUUCUUGAGUGGAGGCCAACUGCAGCUGACUGGUUUUGUUAGAUGCAUUUACAAAGGCGGAUGUCUUGCAACUAGCAGCUAGCUUCCUUUACACGGUAG